AUUGUUCUUAAAUUUUAAUUACCUUCACUUAUUAUGCUUGAACUGUCGCCUUCACUAUGUUAAGCAUCUAGACUAAAAGCCAAAAUAUAAUUAUUGCUGCCUCUCUAAAACCAAAAAUGUAGUUCUCUAUUAACCUGAAAUGUAUACUAACCCAGGA
Molecule: long non-coding RNA, 157 nt
Organism: Sapajus apella (tufted capuchin)
Lineage: Eukaryota; Metazoa; Chordata; Mammalia; Primates; Cebidae
Exons: 3
Source: RefSeq, a predicted model, not a curated record